CCUACGGGUGGCUGCAGUGGGGAAUAUUGGACAAUGGGGGGAACCCUGAUCCAGCCAUGCCGCGUGUGUGAAGAAGGCCCUCGGGUUGUAAAGCACUUUCAGUGAGGAAGAACGCCUGGUGGUUAAUACCCAUCAGGAAAGACAUCACUCACAGAAGAAGCACCGGCUAACUCCGUGCCAGCAGCCGCGGUAAUACGGAGGGUGCGAGCGUUAAUCGGAAUUACUGGGCGUAAAGCGCGCGUAGGUGGCUUGAUAAGCCGGUUGUGAAAGCCCCGGGCUCAACCUGGGAACGGCAGCCGGAACUGUCAAGCUAGAGUGCAGGAGAGGAAGGUAGAAUUCCCGGUGUAGCGGUGAAAUGCGUAGAGAUCGGGAGGAAUACCAGUGGCGAAGGCGGACUUCUGGACUGACACUGACACUGAGGUGCGAAAGCGUGGGUAGCAAACAGGAUUAGAUACCCUUGUAGUC
Molecule: ribosomal RNA, 465 nt
Filed under: Vreelandella stevensii
Lineage: Bacteria; Pseudomonadati; Pseudomonadota; Gammaproteobacteria; Oceanospirillales; Halomonadaceae
Description: partial 16S ribosomal RNA
Rfam family: Bacterial small subunit ribosomal RNA
Source: RNAcentral